Molecule: ribosomal RNA, 253 nt
Filed under: uncultured bacterium
Lineage: Bacteria
Description: partial 16S ribosomal RNA
Rfam family: Bacterial small subunit ribosomal RNA
Source: RNAcentral
UACAGAGGUCUCAAGCGUUGUUCGGAUUCAUUGGGCGUAAAGGGUGCGUAGGUGGCGUCGUAAGUCAGGUGUGAAAUCUCGGGGCUCAACCCCGAAACUGCACUUGAUACUGCGAUGCUCGAGUACUGGAGAGGAGAUUGGAAUUUACGGUGUAGCAGUGAAAUGCGUAGAUAUCGUAAGGAAGGCCAGUGGCGAAGGCGAAUCUCUGGACAGUUACUGACACUGAGGCACGAAGGCCAGGGGAGCAAACGGG